This 253-nucleotide ribosomal RNA is filed under the name uncultured bacterium. Its description in RNAcentral is "partial 16S ribosomal RNA". It matches the Rfam family "Bacterial small subunit ribosomal RNA", at positions 524 to 776 of the family's 1533-position model. The record is from RNAcentral.
UACGGGGGGGGUAAGCGUUGUUCGGAAUUACUGGGCGUAAAGGGCUCGUAGGCGGCCAACUAAGUCAUACGUGAAAUCCCUCAGCUUAACUGGGGAACUGCGUGUGAUACUGGAUGGCUUGGAUUUGGGAGAGGGAUGCGGAAUUCCAGAUGUAGCGGUGAAAUGCGUAGAUAUCUGGAGGAACACCGGUGGCGAAGGCGGCAUCCUGGACCAAUAUUGACGCUGAGGAGCGAAAGCCAGGGGAGCAAACGGG